This 495-nucleotide ribosomal RNA is filed under the name uncultured bacterium. RNAcentral's name for it is "partial 16S ribosomal RNA". It matches the Rfam family "Bacterial small subunit ribosomal RNA", at positions 28 to 507 of the family's 1533-position model. The record is from RNAcentral.
GAUGAACGCUGGCGGCGUGCCUAAUACAUGCAAGUAGAACGCUGAGGGCGGAGUUUGCUCUUCUGGAUGAGUUGCGCACGGGGGAGUCACGCGUAGAACACCUGCCUGGUAGCGGGGGAAAACUAUUGGAAACGAUAGCAAAUACCGCUUGUCAACAGUUAUUGCACGAUAACUGUUUAAAAGGGGCAACUGCUCCACUACCAGAUGGACCUGAGUUGUAUUGGCUAGUUGGUGGGGUAACGGCUAACCAAGGCGACGAGACAUACCCGGCCUGAGAGGGGGGAGGGCCACACUGGGCAUGGGACACGACCCAGGCUCCAGCGGGAGGCAGCAGUAAGGAGUCGUCGGCAAUGGACGGAAGUCGGACCGAGCAACGCGGCGUGAGUGAUGAAGGAUUACGGAUCGUAAGGCUCUGUCGUAAGAGGAGAGCGAGUGUGAGAGUGGGAAGUACGCGCGGUGACGGUAUUUGACCAGGAAGGGACGGCUAACUACGUG